UUAUUGCAUUCCUUUGUUUGUUGGGAUGGCUUUCUAACCAGCUGGCUGCAGGAUUGGAUGAUGGUAGGGAAGCAAUGCAAAUGUGUGCCUAGACUUCCUCCUCCUGCGUGUAGGUUAGCCUUUGAAUUGUCUUAACUGCUUUGUUAGGCUGCACUCUGUGGUUCUGUUGGCUAAUUAUUGGGAGCAGCUGAACCCCGGAGAAAGAUGAAAGCACAUCACACAGGCCCUGCAAAUUGUUAGUGGGAAGGCUCUGACAACUGAGGAGGAGGAUGAUUUGUAUGGUCUUCUAGCUAAACUGCAGAGUUUCAGAGAGAACUUGGCUGUGAAGAAGGAAGGUUUGGAGGGAGAGAUACGAAUGUGAGGAAGCUCCUUUGUCUUUUCUGAUGAAGCUUACAAUUACUUGGAGUAACAAAUGCCAUGAGUGUAAAACUGGCUACAAACUGCAGAGCUCAUCCAAGUCUGCUGAUGACCAAGAAAAUGAAAACACAACAAAACUAAUGAAAUUUCAACACUUCUUCAAAUUGAGAAAUACUUAUUCCUCAGGGCAGUGUAGUCCUCUGGUCAUCUCAGAGAUUACUGUGGUGUGUAGAUGA
Molecule: long non-coding RNA, 593 nt
Filed under: Numida meleagris (helmeted guineafowl)
Lineage: Eukaryota; Metazoa; Chordata; Aves; Galliformes; Numididae
Description: lncRNA (ENSNMEG00000021651.1)
Source: RNAcentral